RNAcentral lists this ribosomal RNA (382 nucleotides) under uncultured eukaryote. Its description in RNAcentral is "partial 18S ribosomal RNA". It matches the Rfam family "Eukaryotic small subunit ribosomal RNA", at positions 592 to 976 of the family's 1831-position model. The record is from RNAcentral.
UGUAAGCGUAUACCAAAGUUGUUGCAGUUAAAACGCUCGUAGUCGGAAUUUGGCAGUUCCGGAAGUGUGCACGUCGUGUGCGCACUUUGCGGGGACUGCUUUUGUGGUCUUGCGUAGGAUGAGGCACUUUCAUUAGUGAACGUCCUCACGCAACCACUCUUUACUGUGAGAAAAUCAGAGUGCUCAAAGCAGGCAUUUGCCGUGAAUGUAUUAGCAUGGAAUAAUAGAAUAGGACUCGGUUCUAUUUUGUUGGUUUGUUGGGACUGAGUAAUGAUUAAGAGGGACAGUUGGGGGCAUUUGUAUUCCGGCGCUAGAGGUGAAAUUCUUAGGUUGCCGGAAGACAAACUGCUGCGAAAGCGUCUGCCAAGGAUGUUUUCAUUGA